UCUGGGAAACUGCCUGAUGGAGGGGGAUAACUACUGGAAACGGUGGCUAAUACCGCAUAACGUCGCAAGACCAAAGAGGGGGACCUUCGGGCCUCUUGCCAUCAGAUGUGCCCAGAUGGGAUUAGCUUGUUGGUGAGGUAACGGCUCACCAAGGCAACGAUCCCUAGCUGGUCUGAGAGGAUGACCAGCCACACUGGAACUGAGACACGGUCCAGACUCCUACGGGAGGCAGCAGUGGGGAAUAUUGCACAAUGG
Molecule: ribosomal RNA, 255 nt
Filed under: Salmonella enterica subsp. enterica
Lineage: Bacteria; Pseudomonadati; Pseudomonadota; Gammaproteobacteria; Enterobacterales; Enterobacteriaceae
Description: partial 16S ribosomal RNA
Rfam family: Bacterial small subunit ribosomal RNA
Source: RNAcentral